UGCGACCUCAGGUCAG
RNAcentral lists this ribosomal RNA (16 nucleotides) under Cryptandra intratropica. RNAcentral's name for it is "partial 26S ribosomal RNA". RNAcentral also lists the same sequence under 4 other names. The record is from RNAcentral. Lineage: Eukaryota; Viridiplantae; Streptophyta; Magnoliopsida; Rosales; Rhamnaceae.